AGAUGUGAGAACAAUCUGACUACAAUAUCUGUUAUCCCAUUGAUCAGCAGGGUUGAUUUAGUUGAUUUGGCUGGCAAGGCAUUUCUUCCCUUCCUCUCUCACCAUUCCUUACAAGUGCAGCUAUCCAGAAACAAACAAGUCCUGAGCAGACAAGUCUUUGGUGGAGGGUAUAGGAGCAAUUGUGCUCACCUGCUAGAACCUACAAGUUCUCAAGAAUACAGCAAAAGGGGGCUGACAGUGGUACAUCUGGUAAAGCACAUACACUAUAGGAGAGCACAACGACCUAGGUUU
This is an unclassified non-coding RNA of Erinaceus europaeus (western European hedgehog), 291 nucleotides long. Its record names the gene 7SK. It matches the Rfam family "7SK RNA". From Rfam's summary of the family: 7SK was discovered as an abundant small nuclear RNA in the mid-70s but a possible function has only recently been suggested. Two independent studies have found that 7SK RNA binds the CDK9/cyclin T complex (known as elongation factor P-TEFb). The record is from Ensembl. NCBI's taxonomy places the organism in Eukaryota, Metazoa, Chordata, Mammalia, Eulipotyphla, Erinaceidae.